This 283-nucleotide unclassified non-coding RNA is filed under the name uncultured Glomeraceae. RNAcentral's name for it is "sequence contains ITS2". The stretch from base 1 to 53 matches the Rfam family "5.8S ribosomal RNA", at positions 102 to 154 of the family's 154-position model. Lineage: Eukaryota; Fungi; Glomeromycota; Glomeromycetes; Glomerales; Glomeraceae. The record is from RNAcentral.
GAACGCAUAUUGCACUUUCUGGUAUUCCGGAAAGUAUGCCUGUUUGAGGGUCAGUUAAAUAAAAAUCGGUGUUGUUACCGCUUUUCGUGGUGACGCGUCGGAAUUGAGUCGUCUUAUCUUCGGUUAAGUGACUUAAAAUUUUAUAUGAUUUUCGAACGUAUUUAAAUUUAUUUGAACGUUUGAUAUCGAAUGCUUUAUUAGGUUCGGUCAUCCUCAUGACUCGCGCCUAUAAUUUUUCAUUAAAUGACCUCAAAUCAGGUAAGAAUACCCGCUGAACUUAAGC